Molecule: ribosomal RNA, 457 nt
Filed under: uncultured bacterium
Lineage: Bacteria
Description: SSU rRNA
Rfam family: Bacterial small subunit ribosomal RNA
Source: RNAcentral
AGAAUCAACGCUGGCGGCGUGCCUAACACAUGCAAGUCGAACGAGAAAGGGGAGCAAUCCCUGAGUAAAGUGGCGCACGGGUGAGUAACACGUGACUAACCUACCUUUUAGUGGGGGAUAACCUAGGGAAACCUGGGCUAAUACCGCAUAAUACCUACGGGUCAAAGCAGCAAUGCGCUGAAAGAGGGGGUCGCGGCCGAUUAGCUAGUUGGCGGGGUAAUGGCCCACCAAGGCAGUGAUCGGUAUCCGGCCUGAGAGGGCGCACGGACACACUGGAACUGAAACACGGUCCAGACUCCUACGGGAGGCAGCAGUGGGGAAUUUGCGCAAUGGGGGAAACCCUGACGCAGCAACGCCGCGUGGAGGAUGAAGUCCCUUGGGACGUAAACUCCUUUCGAUCGGGACGAUAAUGACGGUACCGGAAGAAGAGCCCGGCUAACUUCGCGCCAGCAGCCGC